AUGGCGGUGCUAGCCAAGUGCCUCCUUCUGUUCUCUCUCUCCGCGGCGCUCUUCUCUCUGCUCGGCACCGGCGCCUCCGCCAUGGGCCUGCCCCAGCCUCAUGUGCCGGUGAACUUCACCAUCGGCGUGCAGGGCAUGGUCUGGUGCAAGACCUGCAGGUACAUCGGCUACAACGCCGCCAUGGACGCCUCCCCGCUCCAAGGCGCGGAGGUGUACCUGCAGUGCCGGCACGGCCCGCGGCGGCUGAAGAAGUUGCCAGGGACAUCGGGGCAGGGCGGCUACUUCGUCAUCCAGUCGGCGCACAUGGCGUCCUUCACCAACGACGAGUGCAUGGUGUACGCAGAGAGCUCAUCGUCGACCGCGUGUGGCCUAGUCGACGAACCCGCCGCCGGCGAGGGGCUGCCGCUCAAGUUCGACUCCUUCGUCAAGCACGGCGACGGCCUGCAGGCCCUCUACUCCGUCGGCAACUUUUUCUUCCGCCCCAGCAACCCCAACAAGUGCUAG
Molecule: ribosomal RNA, 504 nt
Filed under: Triticum aestivum (bread wheat)
Lineage: Eukaryota; Viridiplantae; Streptophyta; Magnoliopsida; Poales; Poaceae
Description: partial small subunit ribosomal RNA
Source: RNAcentral